This 468-nucleotide ribosomal RNA is filed under the name uncultured bacterium. Its description in RNAcentral is "partial 16S ribosomal RNA". It matches the Rfam family "Bacterial small subunit ribosomal RNA", at positions 28 to 507 of the family's 1533-position model. The record is from RNAcentral.
GACGAACGCUGGCGGCGUGCUUAACACAUGCAAGUCGAACGGAAAGGCCCUGCUUUUGUGGGGUGCUCGAGUGGCGAACGGGUGAGUAACACGUGAGUAACCUGCCCUUGACUUUGGGAUAACUUCAGGAAACUGGGGCUAAUACCGGAUAGGAGCUCCUGCUGCAUGGUGGGGGUUGGAAAGUUUCGGCGGUUGGGGAUGGACUCGCGGCUUAUCAGCUUGUUGGUGGGGUAGUGGCUUACCAAGGCUUUGACGGGUAGCCGGCCUGAGAGGGUGACCGGCCACAUUGGGACUGGGGUACGGCCCCGGCUCCUACGGGGGGCCAGCGUGGGGAAUAUUGCACCAUGGGCGGAAGCCUGAUGCAGCAACCCCGGGUGCGGGGAGAAGGCCUUUGGGUUGUAAACCGCUUUCGCCUGUGGAAAAGGCGGGGUGACGGUAAUGGGUAAAAGAGGCCCGGCCAACUACCUG